UCAUCUGACGAAGCUGUGGAUUAUUAUAAUUAUAAAGGAUGGUAUUCCACCGUUUUAAUGGCAUUAGUUGAUGCUAAAUACCGUUUUACUUACAUAAACGUAGGAAGUCCCGGGCGAUGUAAUGACUCUCAAAUUUAUGAGACGUCAUCACUUAAGAAAGAAAUAGAUCGUUGUCCUUUACUAAGCGAAAUGUCUAGAGAAAUUUCAGGCGUAAAUGUGCCAGUAUUCAUUAUUGGGGAUUCGGCUUUGCGAGUUAGCAAACAACUAAUGAAACCGUAUCCAUUUAGCGUAAAUCAAAAUAAUGGUGAGAAGAUAUUCAACUACGCUCUUUCGAAAACACGUAGAGUUGUCGAAAAUGCUUUUGGACACCUCAAGGCCCGCUUUCGACGCAUCGGAAAAGGAAUUGACAACUCUGUACGGAAUGCCAACUCCAUAAUAAAAGCAUGUUGCGUCCUUCACAAUUUUUAAAUGAUAACAACGACACGCUAAACGCUAAAUGGUUACGCGCUUUGGAAGAGUUGGAGACUAGACGCCAAAAUCCGUGUGAUGUUUCAUAUGCAUCUGACGACCCAAUUAAUGGAGAAAUGAUUCGGACAGCACUUUGUACAUAUUUUGAAUCACUCGGCUCGGGAGACGGUAUAGUUUGCGAAGAAGUAUCGGCUGGCGACAUCGGCAUCGCUGAGGGCGAAGGUAGGC
Bactrocera neohumeralis is the source of this 696-nucleotide long non-coding RNA. RefSeq lists it as uncharacterized. The transcript has 3 exons. The record is from RefSeq and is a predicted model, not a curated record. Lineage: Eukaryota; Metazoa; Arthropoda; Insecta; Diptera; Tephritidae.